Molecule: small nucleolar RNA, 75 nt
Organism: Nannospalax galili (Upper Galilee mountains blind mole rat)
Lineage: Eukaryota; Metazoa; Chordata; Mammalia; Rodentia; Spalacidae
Product: small nucleolar RNA SNORD113/SNORD114 family
Exons: 1
Source: RefSeq, a predicted model, not a curated record
CGGACCAAAAUGAUGAUUCCUGCCGGCGUCUGAGUCUCAGAUGAUGAGUACAGUGUCUGGAACUCUGAGGUCCCA